CAAGAUCAAUGGUACAAAUUCAAUCUGACUAAAGUGACCAACCCUAUGGAAACCCUAACCUCAUUGAAACACUAUAAAAAGAGGUACUCUCUACCCAUAUGAGCUCAUCAUCUCUCUCUUCUCUCUCCCAUAUCUCUCUUAGAGGGGCCCGCCCCGCAUAGUAGUGUUUCUUUCUCCCUCUCAUCCCAUAGAAGGAGUAUGCCCCACAUAAACUUCGUUUAGGUUAUGAUGUUCUCUCUCCCAUCUCUCUCUCUCAUGGCCUAUGGGUUAAAGGUUUAAUAUUGAGAAGCACAUCUCUCAUCUAGAUACUUAAGGGGUGAAAUCUUAGUUUUGAUUCUUUUGAAAUCUCUCAUCUAGAUACUUAAGGGGUGAAAUCUUAGUUUUGAUUCUUUUGAAAUCUAAGCUUUGUGAUAAAAAUUCAUGUUCCUAUUGGAGGUUUGGCCCAUAUGUGCUCUCAUCUUGGAGAUUGAAGUUGACCAUUGAUCCCACGCUAUUGGAGGUGGAAACUCGGUGUGAGGUUGAUUAAGCCAAGUUGAAAUAAUCUCCAGCAUCCUAUUUUCGUUUCUUGCCAUGCUUAUUGCUUUUAUCUUUUGUUAUUCCCAAGCUUAGUAUUGUGGUUUUUCUUUGAUCAAUGAAAGAGUGAUUUUAGUGGCAUCGAGUUUUAGAUCCAGUUUUUAUUUAUUUUUUGUUAUUUUUCAAGUCAAUUUAUUGUCAUGGACCAUUUGUAAGUAAUCUGACCAGAAAAGAAAAAUAAAAGAGAAGAAAAAGAAUAAAAAAAAAAGAAUACAUGCUUAGAGAUUCAGAAAAAUUCAAACAAUAAUUCUAAAAAUCAAAUAACAUUAACACAAUUAUAAUUAAAUACUUUUUUUUUAUAAUAUUAUAAUUAUAAUUAAAUAUUUUUGAUGGAAAUUGGAUCCAUAUGGUCUGAGAAUAAUUAAAACUCUGGAGUACUCCACCUUCUACUGUGGACCACGAUCCACAGUUACUUUUUCAAACUGACCCAACGGUUCCCAUGACCUACAGUUUAUCGUAGGGGCUCAUAAUUGGGCCACCAAAGUCAGCCAAUGGGCAAGGGGACGAAAUCCCAGUCUGUGGAUUUCAAGUUCUCGAUUCUCCCUUAGAGACGAAUCAAAGUCACCUAGACCUAAUGCAACCACAACUCUAUGAUGCAUACGGGUAAUCUUUCGCACAUGUACAUGCUUCACCAUGAAAGGUGGUUCACUUUUCCAAUACGGCUAUCAUAUGUACAUGUUGUGUGAUGGUACAGGGAUGAAGCUUUGGCCCCCGUCUCUGAGGGCCACCAUCACACACAAUGAUCACACAGUUACUCGGCUCACUCAUCUAGGUAUACUCAGACCUCAUCAAGGGAUGACCCAUCAUAAACUUUAUCGGGUUAAGGUCCAUGCCUAGGUAACAUAGGUUUUUCCCAACUGACUGGCCUAACACGUCAAGCUUAGUCUGGUAUUGGCAAACAUCAUUUGCUUAGUAUGUAUUUUUUUUUUUUUAGAAUUUUAAAUAUAUUUUUAAUUAGACAUUGUAAGUGAUAUUGCUGAUGUAAGAAAAGAAAAAUUUUAAAUAUAUAUACAACAUGUACCAAUUGUUAAUAGCCCAUACAACGCUUAGGAACUGUUAACUCUUCAUAUAUACAUUGUUUACUGUGUCUAUAUGUCCACAAAUACUAAGAACAGUCCCUAUAGGUGAUAAAUUUCAACAAAACGCACAUAUUUUUUACGACGUGUUAACAACCUUUAUAAUGGAAAGCCCAAACGCAACAAUCCAUUCCCAUUGCUAGACAAUGUGUAAUUGUGUAUAUACAAUGUUAAUUACUCUAUGCACACCAUUUACAGUGUAUGAAUAACUUUGCAUAAUAGUGCAUAUGGUCAAUAAACACUAUUAGUAAUGUAUUUGGACUAUGGAAAACCAUUGGCGCAUAACAAAAAAAAAAACAUCAAUCAAAGAAAUGCAAUAAAAUUAUUGCACAUAUACGAAAAGGCAAUGAUGCAAAAUAAUUGUACAUAUACAUAGGCCUUGCUACUUUCUGCUCUUGAUUCAAUUGGAAAAGUGCACGAUGGAAAAUGCAAUUUUCAAUCAAAUCGAGUGUUGUGCUGGGCCUAGCGGGGCAAUAACAAUAUAUCAAGAACAAUGACAAAAGCAAAUUAGAAAAGGAACUCAUUUGACAGCAUUCCUAAUAUUAAGAAAAUAAUGCAAAAACCAAAAUUGCAUUAUGCAUGAGAAGAAAGAAAAUUUAAGCCAUGAAUUUUGUAGAAUACAUAAACCUUGACCUUACAUAAUCAAGAGAAGCACAAAUCAUACAAAAAUUCAUUAAAGAAAAAUACCAUCAAGUGUACCCACAAAAAAUCUCACUACAAACAAAUAAAAGGAUCCCUACCUAUGAAAUAGAUCAGAAAUUCAAAGCAAAACCAAGUGGCAAAUGGAAAUUGUCAAAUGAAACAAAAAAAGAUCAAAUAAUUCCCAGUUAAAAUAUCUGCCAAAAUAAUGUGCUUUUAUAAAGAAAACCAAAUACAAGAGCCACCAAAUAACAAUUACAAAAAGGAAAUUGCCCAAUUACAUAUAGACUAUCAACAAAGUCUAAAUCAAUCAAAAAAUAUCCAAAUAAUAACAAUUCAUGUACAUAAUUCCUAAUUAAAUACCCCAAAAUUAUAGAUCAUGCAAAUU
Molecule: long non-coding RNA, 2676 nt
Filed under: Amborella trichopoda
Lineage: Eukaryota; Viridiplantae; Streptophyta; Magnoliopsida; Amborellales; Amborellaceae
Description: long non-coding RNA (ATRI_LNC003738)
Source: RNAcentral